GUAGUCUGCAACCCGACUACAUGAAGCUGGAAUCGCUAGUAAUCGCGGAUCAGAAUGCCGCGGUGAAUACGUUCCCGGGUCUUGUACACACCGCCCGUCACACCAUGAGAGUCGGGAACACCCGAAGUCCGUAGUCUAACCGCAAGGGGGGCGCGGCCGAAGGUGGGUCCGGUAAUUGGGGUGAAGUCGUAACAAGGUACC
This 201-nucleotide ribosomal RNA is filed under the name uncultured bacterium. Its description in RNAcentral is "partial 16S ribosomal RNA". It matches the Rfam family "Bacterial small subunit ribosomal RNA", at positions 1300 to 1500 of the family's 1533-position model. The record is from RNAcentral.